CGCGGCCUAUCAGCUUGUUGGUGGGGUGAUGGCCUACCAAGGCGACGACGGGUAGCCGGCCUGAGAGGGUGUCCGGCCACACUGGGACUGAGAUACGGCCCAGACUCCUACGGGAGGCAGCAGUGGGGAAUAUUGCACAAUGGGCGCAAGCCUGAUGCAGCGACGCCGCGUGGGGGAUGACGGCCUACGGGUUGUAAACCUCUUUCAGUAGGGACGAAGCGCAAGUGACGGUACCUACAGAAGAAGCACCGGCCAACUACGUGCCAGCAGCCGCGGUAAUACGUAGGGUGCGAGCGUUGUCCGGAAUUACUGGGCGUAAAGAGCUCGUAGGUGGUUUGUCGCGUUGUUCGUGAAAACUCACAGCUUAACUGUGGGCGUGCGGGCGAUACGGGCAGACUGGAGUACUGCAGGGGAGACUGGAAUUCCUGGUGUAGCGGUGGAAUGCGCAGAUAUCAGGAGGAACACCGGUGGCGAAGGCGGGUCUCUGGGCAGUAACUGACGCUGAGGAGCGAAAGCGUGGGGAGCGAACAGGAUUAGAUACCCUGGUAGUCCACGCCGUAAACGGUGGGUACUAGGUGUGGGGUUUCCUUCCUUGGGAUCCGUGCCGUAGCUAACGCAUUAAGUACCCCGCCUGGGGAGUACGG
Molecule: ribosomal RNA, 644 nt
Filed under: uncultured Actinomycetes bacterium
Lineage: Bacteria; Bacillati; Actinomycetota; Actinomycetes
Description: bacterial SSU rRNA
Rfam family: Bacterial small subunit ribosomal RNA
Source: RNAcentral